RNAcentral lists this ribosomal RNA (303 nucleotides) under uncultured bacterium. RNAcentral describes it as "partial 16S ribosomal RNA". It matches the Rfam family "Bacterial small subunit ribosomal RNA", at positions 507 to 807 of the family's 1533-position model. The record is from RNAcentral.
AGCAGCAGCCGCGGUAAUACGUAGGUGGCAAGCGUUGUCCGGAAUUAUUGGGCGUAAAGGGCUCGCAGGCGGUUUCUUAAGUCUGAUGUGAAAGCCCCCGGCUCAACCGGGGAGGGUCAUUGGAAACUGGGAAACUUGAGUGCAGAAGAGGAGAGUGGAAUUCCACGUGUAGCGGUGAAAUGCGUAGAGAUGUGGAGGAACACCAGUGGCGAAGGCGACUCUCUGGUCUGUAACUGACGCUGAGGAGCGAAAGCGUGGGGAGCGAACGGGAUUAGAUACCCGUGUAGUCCCUGUCUCUUAUAC